GCUAGCAUAGCUCAGUAGGAAGAGCGCCUGCCUUGUAAGCAGGAUGUCGCGGGUUCGACUCCUGCUGCUAGCUCCA
Molecule: transfer RNA, 76 nt
Filed under: Martinezella rhizogenes
Lineage: Bacteria; Pseudomonadati; Pseudomonadota; Alphaproteobacteria; Hyphomicrobiales; Rhizobiaceae
Also listed under: 1 other name
Description: Agrobacterium rhizogenes tRNA-Thr
Rfam family: tRNA
About the family: Transfer RNA (tRNA) molecules are approximately 80 nucleotides in length. Their secondary structure includes four short double-helical elements and three loops (D, anti-codon, and T loops).
Source: RNAcentral